GGCUCAGGACGAACGCUGGCGGCGUGCCUAACACAUGCAAGUCGAGCGGGGACAUUGCGACGGAGACGAAGUACUCGUACGGAGUCAAAGAUGUAAUGUUCUAGCGGCGGACGGGUGAGUAACGCGUGAGCAACCUGUCCCUUACAGGGGGAUAACACAGCGAAAGUUGUACUAAUACCGCAUAAGACCACAGAGUGACAUCGCUCAGGGGUCAAAGGAGCAAUCCGGUAAGGGGUGGGCUCGCGUCCGAUUAGAUAGUUGGUGAGGUAACGGCCCACCAAGUCGACGAUCGGUAGCCGACCUGAGAGGGUGAUCGGCCACAUUGGGACUGAGACACGGCCCAAACUCCUACGGGAGGCAGCAGUGGGGAAUAUUGGGCAAUGGGGGGAAACCCUGACCCAGCAACGCCGCGUGAGGGAAGAAGGUUUUCGGAUCGUAAACCUCUGUCCCAGGUGAAGAGGAAGAGACGGUAGCCUGGGAGGAAGCCCCGGCUAACUACGUGCCAGCAGCCGC
Molecule: ribosomal RNA, 513 nt
Filed under: uncultured bacterium
Lineage: Bacteria
Description: bacterial SSU rRNA
Rfam family: Bacterial small subunit ribosomal RNA
Source: RNAcentral